GACGAACGCUGGCGGCGUGCUUAACACAUGCAAGUCGAACGGAAAGGCCCUGCUUUUGUGGGGUGCUCGAGUGGCGAACGGGUGAGUAACACGUGAGUAACCUGCCCUUGACUUUGUGAUAACUUCAGGAAACUGGGGCUAUUACCGGAUAGGAUCUCCUGCUGCAUUUUGUGGUUUGGAAAGUUUCGGCGUUUGGGGAUGGACUCGCGGCUUAUCAGCUUGUUGGUGGGGUAGUGGCUUACCAAGGCUUUGACGGCUAGCCGGCCUGAGAGGGUGAACGGCGACAAUGGGACUGAGAUACGGAGCAGAAGAGAACGGGAGGCAGAAGUGGGGAAUAUUGCACAAUGGGCGGAAGCGUGAUGCAGCAACGCCGCGUGCGGGAAGACGGCCUACGGGUUGUAAACCGCUUGCGACUGUGACGAAGAGGGAGUGACGGUAAUGGGUAAAGAAGCACCGGCUAACUACGUG
Molecule: ribosomal RNA, 468 nt
Filed under: uncultured bacterium
Lineage: Bacteria
Description: partial 16S ribosomal RNA
Rfam family: Bacterial small subunit ribosomal RNA
Source: RNAcentral